Non-coding RNA from Arachis ipaensis, 797 nucleotides. The record is from RefSeq and is a predicted model, not a curated record. NCBI's taxonomy places the organism in Eukaryota, Viridiplantae, Streptophyta, Magnoliopsida, Fabales, Fabaceae.
GGUUCCCCAACACGCUACAAGACUCAUCAGACUCUUCUACUCUUCUCCCCUGACACUUACACUAAUGCUUUGAAACCCUAACACUCUGACUCUGUUGCUCAUCCCCAACUCUGUUACUCAUCGUCGACACUUGCACUAUCUCCUCUGCCGGCGCUCCCUCUGUCGUCUCCCUUAACCCGUCUCUGCUGGCGCUCGUAUCCCCUGCGCUCACUACUCACGGUGUCGGUCAGCCAACAGAGGUCGCCUCUCCUUCCUCCGUGCCGCCAUUCUCUGUCCUCCACCCUCAUCAUCUUGCUCAAUCUUCCACUACCUUCGAAGUCCUCACUGCAUGCAUAUGGCAAAACCCUAACACCAAGAGGUUUGCUUGCUUUGCACAGUCAAUGCACGUUUUGACUGUGCCAUCGCUGCCGCUAGAAGAGCACUCAACCGCAACAAAGGCAACGACUGGCCUUCUGCUUUCGGCGCUCAUCGAGCCCGCUAUCUCCGCGCCAUCGCUGCCAAGGUCGUCGAGAGAAAGGAUCACCUCGCUAAGCUUAAAUCCCUUGAUUGCGGAAAACCACUCGAUGAAGCUGCCUGGGACAUGAAUGAUGUUGCUGGUUGCUUCGAGUUUUACGCUGACCUUGCCAAGAACCUCGACGCUAAGCAGAAGGCACCUGUUUCUCUUCCCAUGGAAACUUUCAAGAUUUAUGUCCUCAAAGAAUCCAUUGGUGUUGUUGGAUUAAUCACCCCAUGGAACUAUCCUCUAUUAAUGGCUACAUGGAAGGUUGCCCCUGCUCUGGUUCUUCAUUUUUUUGAUU